Molecule: ribosomal RNA, 278 nt
Filed under: uncultured bacterium
Lineage: Bacteria
Description: partial 16S ribosomal RNA
Rfam family: Bacterial small subunit ribosomal RNA
Source: RNAcentral
GAUGAACGCUGGCGGCGUGCUUAAGACAUGCAAGUCGAACGGAGUGUGUAGCAAUACUCACUAAGUGGCGAAUGGGUGAGUAACACGUAGGUGACCUGCCCUGAAGUGCGGAAUAACAGUCCGAAAGGAUUGCUAAUACCGCAUGUGGUCCCGGGCGUUAGAGAACCGGGUCUAAAGCAGUAAUGCGCUUCAGGAGGGCCCUGCGGUCCAUCAGCUAGUUGGAGGUAAUGGCCUACCAAGGCAACGACGGAUAGGGGACCUGAGAGGGUCGGCCCCCA